UACGAAGGGGGCUAGCGUUGCUCGGAAUCACUGGGCGUAAAGGGUGCGUAGGCGGGUCUUUAAGUCAGGGGUGAAAUCCUGGAGCUCAACUCCAGAACUGCCUUUGAUACUGAGGAUCUUGAGUUCGGGAGAGGUGAGUGGAACUGCGAGUGUAGAGGUGAAAUUCGUAGAUAUUCGCAAGAACACCAGUGGCGAAGGCGGCUGUCUGGUCCGGUUCUGACGCUGAGGCGCGAAAGCGUGGGGAGCAAACAGG
RNAcentral lists this ribosomal RNA (253 nucleotides) under uncultured bacterium. Its description in RNAcentral is "partial 16S ribosomal RNA". It matches the Rfam family "Bacterial small subunit ribosomal RNA", at positions 524 to 776 of the family's 1533-position model. The record is from RNAcentral.